RNAcentral lists this ribosomal RNA (163 nucleotides) under Lolium perenne. RNAcentral describes it as "5.8S ribosomal RNA". It matches the Rfam family "5.8S ribosomal RNA". From Rfam's summary of the family: 5.8S ribosomal RNA (5.8S rRNA) is a component of the large subunit of the eukaryotic ribosome. RNAcentral also lists the same sequence under 3 other names. Lineage: Eukaryota; Viridiplantae; Streptophyta; Magnoliopsida; Poales; Poaceae. The record is from RNAcentral.
CUCUCGGCAACGGAUAUCUCGGCUCUCGCAUCGAUGAAGAACGUAGCGAAAUGCGAUACCUGGUGUGAAUUGCAGAAUCCCGCGAACCAUCGAGUCUUUGAACGCAAGUUGCGCCCGAGGCCUCUUGGCCGAGGGCACGCCUGCCUGGGCGUCACGCCAAACA